Molecule: long non-coding RNA, 239 nt
Filed under: Fukomys damarensis (Damara mole-rat)
Lineage: Eukaryota; Metazoa; Chordata; Mammalia; Rodentia; Bathyergidae
Description: lncRNA (ENSFDAG00000024633.1)
Source: RNAcentral
CCCGCGCCGGGUCCGCCCUGACUUGACGAGGCCCGGUGGAGAUGGUUCCGGUACUCUUGAGCUGGUGACCCCGGCGGCCCAGAGCAGCUGGGGGAGGGGAGGAGGUUCCGUGCGGCGCUGCCAGCGCGCCGGCGCCGCUAUCUUCCAGCUUGGUGUGAGGGCACGGGCACGUGGUUGGAAGGUUCUCUAGGAUGGAUUGAUUCUGACCCAGGCAUCUGUGAUGGGCAUUUCACCUGGGG